UACGUAGGGUGCAAGCGUUGUCCGGAAUUAUUGGGCGUAAAGAGCUCGUAGGCGGCUUGUCGCGUCGGCUGUGAAAACCUGGGGCUCAACCCCGGGCCUGCAGCCGAUACGGGCAAGCUAGAGUUCGGUAGGGGAGACUGGAAUUCCUGGUGUAGCGGUGAAAUGCGCAGAUAUCAGGAGGAACACCGGUGGCGAAGGCGGGUCUCUGGGCCGAUACUGACACUGAGACCCGAAAGCGUGGGGAUCAAACAGG
This 253-nucleotide ribosomal RNA is filed under the name uncultured bacterium. RNAcentral's name for it is "partial 16S ribosomal RNA". It matches the Rfam family "Bacterial small subunit ribosomal RNA", at positions 524 to 776 of the family's 1533-position model. The record is from RNAcentral.